CUGCCCAGACCAGACCCUUACUGUGAGCUGCCCAGGAGGAGACACAUCAUCCGCGAACAAUUGAGGGACGGCAACUGAUUUCAGAGUGUGACAUGAGUCCACGUGGAGUGAGCAUGGAGAGAGAUCCUGCCCAAAGUUGCUGGUGCACUGGUAGGAAAAUGGACAAAGACAUAAUGGACUGGAAAGGACAGUAGCGGCUCAGAGGAUGGUGAAACUAAUGAGCUGCGAACUCUGGAUGAGCUACCAUUUCCCCCUGUAGAUACGGACAAUGAGUAAUGAUUGACGGUUGUUUUUGUUUAACAAGUUGAGGUUCCCUCUCUCCAGCGCUCGACGUCGCCUGUCUACUAACCACCGGUCCUGGCAACCCACAUUACGCACACCUGGCAACCAUCAUAACGCACAC
Long non-coding RNA from Coregonus clupeaformis (lake whitefish), 403 nucleotides. RefSeq lists it as uncharacterized. Lineage: Eukaryota; Metazoa; Chordata; Actinopteri; Salmoniformes; Salmonidae. The transcript is spliced from 4 exons. The record is from RefSeq and is a predicted model, not a curated record.